GACGAACGCUGGCGGCGUGCUUAACACAUGCAAGUCGAACGGAAAGGCCCUGCUUGCAGGGUACUCGAGUGGCGAACGGGUGAGUAACACGUGGGUGAUCUGCCCUGCACUUCGGGAUAAGCCUGGGAAACUGGGUCUAAUACCGGAUAGGAGCCAUUUUUAGUGUGAUGGUUGGAAAGUUUUUUCGGUGUAGGAUGAGCCCGCGGCCUAUCAGCUUGUUGGUGGGGUAAUGGCCUACCAAGGCGGCGACGGGUAGCCGGCCUGAGAGGGUGGACGGCCACAUUGGGACUGAGAUACGGCCCAGACUCCUACGGGAGGCAGCAGGGGGGAAUAUUGCACAAUGGGCGCAAGCCUGAUGCAGCGACGCCGCGUGGGGGAUGACGGCCUUCGGGUUGUAAACGCCUUUCGCUAGGGACGAAGCUUUUUGUGACGGUACCUAGAUAAGAAGCACCGGCUAACUACGUG
This 465-nucleotide ribosomal RNA is filed under the name uncultured bacterium. RNAcentral describes it as "partial 16S ribosomal RNA". It matches the Rfam family "Bacterial small subunit ribosomal RNA", at positions 28 to 507 of the family's 1533-position model. The record is from RNAcentral.